Molecule: ribosomal RNA, 269 nt
Filed under: uncultured prokaryote
Description: partial 16S ribosomal RNA
Rfam family: Bacterial small subunit ribosomal RNA
Source: RNAcentral
UACGUAGGAGGCAAGCGUUAUUCGGAUUUACUGGGCGUAAAGAGGGCGCAGGUGGUUUUUCAAGUCGGUUGUAAAAUCUCCCCGCUUAACGGGGAGGGACCAUCCGAUACUGCUAGGCUAGAGGGCAGCAGAGGGAGGUGGAAUUCCCGGUGUAGUGGUGAAAUACGUAGAUAUCGGGAAGAACACCAGUGGCGAAGGCGGCCUCCUAGGCUGUUUCUGACGCUGAGGCCCGAAAGCGUGGGGAGCGAACAGGAUUAGAUACCCCGGUA